GUAAAUACAUUGACUGUUGAGGAGUACAUAUCAUUUUAUUUUUAGAGAGUUAAGGGUAGGUGAGACUUAACAAUAAAAGAUAUGGAAGGUAGCAACAAGAGUAGGAUUUCUGAAAUAGUAGUAGGUUAUCCCGGGAGAACCGUUAAAUAAAUAAGGUAUGUUAAACAUACAAAUUAAGGUGGUACCACGAACUUCUCGUCCUUUGG
Molecule: non-coding RNA, 206 nt
Filed under: Clostridium sp.
Lineage: Bacteria; Bacillati; Bacillota; Clostridia; Eubacteriales; Clostridiaceae
Description: T-box sequence
Rfam family: T-box leader
About the family: Uncharged tRNA acts as the effector for transcription antitermination of genes in the T-box leader family. T-boxes are found upstream of many aminoacyl-tRNA synthetase genes and some amino acid biosynthetic genes usually in Gram-positive bacteria.
Source: RNAcentral